UAGCAACAACAGUCCUAUUCAAAUGGACCGGCCCAAAAUCUGGGCCGGUAGCAAACAUUAGAGAGUUCUGGCGGCCUCUAGUGGACAGGAGGCAGAGCUGCAUGUGGCUGCGUCUUAGUAUCAAAGACGUUAAUGAGUCAGAGGGCUGAUCACAGGAGACGCGAUGAAUGAGCGGAUCAGUGAGAGUGCACGGAGCUGAGGAACAUCACAGGGACAGACGAGAGGAGGAGGUCCAGAAAUGAGAGAGCGCUGGAUCCAUAGACUGUAUGAUGGGCCCCCAAUGCUAAAUUGAACAGUGAAUCGCAUUGAACAGUCGGCGAUGAGACGGAAGAUUAAAGCUUGUUGCCAGACUCUUGUAAAAAUCAAUUAAAACUUACUUCAGAUGUUGUC
This is a long non-coding RNA of Poecilia latipinna (sailfin molly), 390 nucleotides long. RefSeq lists it as uncharacterized. The transcript is spliced from 3 exons. The record is from RefSeq and is a predicted model, not a curated record. NCBI's taxonomy places the organism in Eukaryota, Metazoa, Chordata, Actinopteri, Cyprinodontiformes, Poeciliidae.